Molecule: long non-coding RNA, 428 nt
Filed under: Gossypium raimondii (Peruvian cotton)
Lineage: Eukaryota; Viridiplantae; Streptophyta; Magnoliopsida; Malvales; Malvaceae
Description: long non-coding RNA (GRAI_LNC001226)
Source: RNAcentral
ACAAUUUGCAAAUAAAUUUCAAGAGGUUCAAACCCACACCUUAGUUAGCGAUAAAACCCCAAACGACCCGUGAACCACAAUGCCCUUUACUUGAUACUCAAUGGUAUCUCCCUCUAAAACUAAAAAGAUUGAAGAUGACAAAACCGCAGCAACACAAAAAAGGAAAUUUGUGAGAGGAGAGGGAUAGUGAAGAGAAAGAGGAACGUGCAGAGAAACUUUGGAAAACCACUACGUGAAAACUUUCAGUUUCCUCAAAAAUAGAAAUAAAAUAAAAUAAAGAAAACAAAUAAAAAUAAAUGGGUAACCUUUUAAAACAAAACAAAGCUAAAUAAAAAAUAAUUCCCUCAAAACACACCUAUGGACUCAAACCCGGGACCCCGGACUAAACUAACACACAACCCACCACCAGACCAGUAGGCCUAUUUUGA